This 468-nucleotide ribosomal RNA is filed under the name uncultured bacterium. RNAcentral describes it as "partial 16S ribosomal RNA". It matches the Rfam family "Bacterial small subunit ribosomal RNA", at positions 28 to 507 of the family's 1533-position model. The record is from RNAcentral.
GAUGAACGCUGGCGGCGUGCUUAACACAUGCAAGUCGAACGGUGAAGGCGGAGCUUGCUCUGCUGGAUCAGUGGCGAACGGGUGAGUAACACGUGAGCAAUCUGCCCCUGACUCUGGGAUAAGCGCUGGAAACGGCGUCUAAUACUGGAUACGAGCUGCGAAGGCAUCUUCAGCAGCUGGAAAGAAUUUCGGUCAGGGAUGAGCUCGCGGCCUAUCAGCUUGUUGGUGAGGUAAUGGCUCACCAAGGCGUCGACGGGUAGCCGGCCUGAGAGGGUGACCGGCCACACUGGGACUGAGACACGGCCCAGACUCAUACGGGAGGCAGCAGUGGGGAAUAUUGCACAAUGGGCGAAAGCCUGAUGCAGCAACGCCGCGUGAGGGACGACGGCCUUCGGGUUGUAAACCUCUGUGAGCAGGGAAGAAGCGAAAGUGACGGUACCUGCAGAAAAAGCGCCGGCUAACUACGUG